UACAGAGGUCCCAAGCGUUGUUCGGAUUCAUUGGGCUUAAAGGGCGCGUAGGCGGCGGUGUAAGUUGGAAGUGAAAUCCCAUCGGCUCAACCGUGGAAUUGCUCCCAGUACUGCAUCGCUCGAGGGGGAUAGGGGUUUGCGGAACUACCGGUGGAGCGGUGAAAUGUGUUGAUAUCGGUGGGAACGCCAGUGGCGAAAGCGGCAAACUUGACCCUUCCUGACGCUGAGGCGCGAAAGCUAGGGGAGCAAACGGG
Molecule: ribosomal RNA, 254 nt
Filed under: uncultured bacterium
Lineage: Bacteria
Description: partial 16S ribosomal RNA
Rfam family: Bacterial small subunit ribosomal RNA
Source: RNAcentral